CGCGCAAGGCGCCAAAUGAAGUCCUGCUUAAUAACAGAAUAAAGAUUUUACAUUAUUCUUGUAUUGACUCAAUGAAAAGCAUCAUUCUGCUUUUGCCUCAGACUGACGGUGAUCCUGAUAACCCCACAGUUCUGAAUAGUCCAGCACCUUCACUCUUCUGCAGUUUUUGAAGGCUCUUAACUGCUUUUUAAUCAGUGAUUAUUAGAGAUGUGGAAGGCUGUGCAGGCGCCGGAAUCCCCAGACGCAGAAGAGUGCCUGUCAAUAUGUCAUGUCAAUUAGCCCACCGCGAGACGGCCCCCUCCAUAGCAGAUCUACUCCAGCACUUACCUCUGUCUGCACAAGGAGGGAAAUGAUCUCAUUGCUAGGCAUUCGGAUUGACUUAAAGCUAUUUUUGAAAGAAAGUAGUAUGCAGUUUGUAUACUGUGCACUAUUUGUCACUUUUCUGUGUGUGUGGAACACCUGAACAACCUACUAUUUGACAAAACGUGUAGUACACAGCCUGUGUAAAUAGU
This is a long non-coding RNA of Cyprinus carpio carpio, 512 nucleotides long. Lineage: Eukaryota; Metazoa; Chordata; Actinopteri; Cypriniformes; Cyprinidae. The record is from Ensembl.